CAGACUUCAAUGAAGCAUAUUUGACUCCGGACAAAGAAGCAUUCAACUUGUCGACAGAUGUUACAUGCGUAUACAAGAUUUAGGAAGUAUCAGUCAUCUCUUUCUGCACUAUAUGGUUGUUGUUGACCUCUGAAACGUGUUUUAUUAUGUUUUCGGACUCGCGUAGGUCAUGCCAUACACAGUUAAAGAUGCAUAUGAAUGCUUUAAUCAUGAAGAAGAUCUGGAUGUCCCUGCAAGUAUUGAUGUUUUUGGUGUAUUUCAACUCCAAACUACUCCUCCCAACUAUAAGCUAGAUGUUUG
This 300-nucleotide unclassified non-coding RNA is filed under the name Hevea brasiliensis (rubber tree). Lineage: Eukaryota; Viridiplantae; Streptophyta; Magnoliopsida; Malpighiales; Euphorbiaceae. The record is from RNAcentral.